RNAcentral lists this ribosomal RNA (1331 nucleotides) under Escherichia coli 1-392-07_S3_C2. RNAcentral describes it as "bacterial SSU rRNA". It matches the Rfam family "Bacterial small subunit ribosomal RNA", at positions 8 to 1329 of the family's 1533-position model. The record is from RNAcentral. Lineage: Bacteria; Pseudomonadati; Pseudomonadota; Gammaproteobacteria; Enterobacterales; Enterobacteriaceae.
AGAGUUUGAUCAUGGCUCAGAUUGAACGCUGGCGGCAGGCCUAACACAUGCAAGUCGAACGGUAACAGGAAACAGCUUGCUGUUUCGCUGACGAGUGGCGGACGGGUGAGUAAUGUCUGGGAAACUGCCUGAUGGAGGGGGAUAACUACUGGAAACGGUAGCUAAUACCGCAUAACGUCGCAAGACCAAAGAGGGGGACCCUCGGGCCUCUUGCCAUCGGAUGUGCCCAGAUGGGAUUAGCUUGUUGGUGGGGUAACGGCUCACCAAGGCGACGAUCCCUAGCUGGUCUGAGAGGAUGACCAGCCACACUGGAACUGAGACACGGUCCAGACUCCUACGGGAGGCAGCAGUGGGGAAUAUUGCACAAUGGGCGCAAGCCUGAUGCAGCCAUGCCGCGUGUAUGAAGAAGGCCUUCGGGUUGUAAAGUACUUUCAGCGGGGAGGAAGGGAGUAAAGUUAAUACCUUUGCUCAUUGACGUUACCCGCAGAAGAAGCACCGGCUAACUCCGUGCCAGCAGCCGCGGUAAUACGGAGGGUGCAAGCGUUAAUCGGAAUUACUGGGCGUAAAGCGCACGCAGGCGGUUUGUUAAGUCAGAUGUGAAAUCCCCGGGCUCAACCUGGGAACUGCAUCUGAUACUGGCAAGCUUGAGUCUCGUAGAGGGGGGUAGAAUUCCAGGUGUAGCGGUGAAAUGCGUAGAGAUCUGGAGGAAUACCGGUGGCGAAGGCGGCCCCCUGGACGAAGACUGACGCUCAGGUGCGAAAGCGUGGGGAGCAAACAGGAUUAGAUACCCUGGUAGUCCACGCCGUAAACGAUGUCGACUUGGAGGUUGUGCCCUUGAGGCGUGGCUUCCGGAGCUAACGCGUUAAGUCGACCGCCUGGGGAGUACGGCCGCAAGGUUAAAACUCAAAUGAAUUGACGGGGGCCCGCACAAGCGGUGGAGCAUGUGGUUUAAUUCGAUGCAACGCGAAGAACCUUACCUGGUCUUGACAUCCACGGAAGUUUUCAGAGAUGAGAAUGUGCCUUCGGGAACCGUGAGACAGGUGCUGCAUGGCUGUCGUCAGCUCGUGUUGUGAAAUGUUGGGUUAAGUCCCGCAACGAGCGCAACCCUUAUCCUUUGUUGCCAGCGGUCCGGCCGGGAACUCAAAGGAGACUGCCAGUGAUAAACUGGAGGAAGGUGGGGAUGACGUCAAGUCAUCAUGGCCCUUACGACCAGGGCUACACACGUGCUACAAUGGCGCAUACAAAGAGAAGCGACCUCGCGAGAGCAAGCGGACCUCAUAAAGUGCGUCGUAGUCCGGAUUGGAGUCUGCAACUCGACUCCAUGAAGUCGG